RNAcentral lists this ribosomal RNA (233 nucleotides) under uncultured bacterium. RNAcentral's name for it is "partial 16S ribosomal RNA". It matches the Rfam family "Bacterial small subunit ribosomal RNA", at positions 543 to 775 of the family's 1533-position model. The record is from RNAcentral.
AUCCGGAUUUAUUGGGUUUAAAGCGCGCGUAGGCGGCUUUGUAAAUUAGAGGUGAAAGCCCGGAGCUCAACUCCGGAACUGCCUUUAAGACAGCAUCGCUAGAACGUCGGAGAGGUAAGUGGAAUUCCGAGUGUAGAGGUGAAAUUCGUAGAUAUUCGGAAGAACACCAGUGGCGAAGGCGACUUACUGGACGACUGUUGACGCUGAGGUGCGAAAGCGUGGGGAGCAAACAG